AGGUAAAUUCUGACCCGCACGAAAGGUGUAAUGAUCCCUUCGCUGUCUCGGCUGCAGACUCGGUGAAAUUUUAGUACCGGUGAAGAUGCCGGUUACCCGCAACUAGACGGAAAGACCCCGUGGAGCUUUACUAUAACUUGAUAUUGAAAUUUGGUGUAACGUGUAGAGGAUAGGUGGGAGACUAUGAGACCAGGACGCCAGUACUGGUGGAGUCAACCUUGGAAUACCACCCUCGUUACAUUGGGUUUCUAACUUCGACCCGUUAUCCGGGUUAAGGACAGUGUCUGGUGGGUAGUUUGACUGGGGCGGUCGCCUCCCAAAAAGUAACGGAGGCGCUCAAAGGUAUCCUCAGUAUGGUUGGAAAUCAUACAUAGAGCGCAAAGGUAGAAGGAUGCUUAACUGCGAGACUUACAAGUCGAACAGAUACGAAAGUAGGACUUAGUGAUCCGGCGGUCCCGAGUGGAAGGGCCGUCGCUCAACGGAUAAAAGUUACCCCGGGGAUAACAGGCUUAUCUCCCCCAAGAGUUCACAUCGACGGGGAGGUUUGGCACCUCGAUGUCGGCUCAUCGCAUCCUGGAGCUGUAGUCGGUUCCAAGGGUUGGGCUGUUCGCCCAUUAAAGCGGUACGCGAGCUGGGUUCAGAACGUCGUGAGACAGUUUGGUCCCUAUCUGUUGUGGGCGUAGGAAAAUUGAAGAGAGCUGUUCCUAGUACGAGAGGACCGGAAUGGACGCACCCCUGGUGCUCCUGUUGUCACGCCAGUGGCAUAGCAGGGUAGCUAUGUGCGGACAGGAUAAUCGCUGAAGGCAUCUAAGCGAGAAGCCCCC
Molecule: ribosomal RNA, 824 nt
Filed under: Listeria monocytogenes
Lineage: Bacteria; Bacillati; Bacillota; Bacilli; Caryophanales; Listeriaceae
Description: partial 23S ribosomal RNA
Rfam family: Bacterial large subunit ribosomal RNA
Source: RNAcentral